AGAGUUUGAUCCUGGCUCAGGAUGAACGCUGGCGGCGUGCUUAACACAUGCAAGUCGAACGGUGAAGCAGAGCUUGCUCUGUGGAUCAGUGGCGAACGGGUGAGUAACACGUGAGCAAUCUGCCCCUGACUCUGGGAUAACAGCUGGAAACAGCUGCUAAUACCGGAUACGAGACGUGAAGGCAUCUUCAACGUCUGGAAAGAAUUUCGGUCAGGGAUGAGCUCGCGGCCUAUCAGCUAGUUGGUGAGGUAACGGCUCACCAAGGCGUCGACGGGUAGCCGGCCUGAGAGGGUGACCGGCCACACUGGGACUGAGACACGGCCCAGACUCCUACGGGAGGCAGCAGUGGGGAAUAUUGCACAAUGGGCGAAAACCUGAUGCAGCAACGCCGCGUGAGGGACGACGGCCUUCGGGUUGUAAACCUCUUUUAGCAGGGAAGAAGCGAAAGUGACGGUACCUGCAGAAAAAGCACCGGCUAACUACGUG
This 486-nucleotide ribosomal RNA is filed under the name uncultured Microbacterium sp. RNAcentral's name for it is "bacterial SSU rRNA". It matches the Rfam family "Bacterial small subunit ribosomal RNA", at positions 8 to 507 of the family's 1533-position model. The record is from RNAcentral. Lineage: Bacteria; Bacillati; Actinomycetota; Actinomycetes; Micrococcales; Microbacteriaceae.